RNAcentral lists this non-coding RNA (30 nucleotides) under Mus musculus (house mouse). Lineage: Eukaryota; Metazoa; Chordata; Mammalia; Rodentia; Muridae. The record is from RNAcentral.
UGACUUAAGAAUGUAGUUUCAAAGGGGAUG